AAACUCCUGAGCUCAAGCGAUCCUCCCAUCUCAGCCUCCCAAAGCACUAGGACAACCAGCAUGAGCCACUGUGCCCAACCCCUAUUCUAAGUUUAAAGGACAAGCAGGACUUUUUCUCAAGUCCCAGAGUAGCGCACCCCAGUCCCAACACCAGGACUGAGCGUGCACCCCACUUCUAGCAUCAGGACUGAGCGUGCUCUGACCUGUUUCCCUGAGCUGAGGAAGGGGCCGAAGAGCUGAGAUAACUCCCAAGAAAUUUCCAGGGAGGGAUUUUCUGGGGCCAAGUCCUGGCCUGGCCCGGCCGGGCCUGUGUGAGCUCAGGGUCCUGCAGCCCCGGUGACUGGCCAUCAAUGCCCAAGCUGCAGGGACUCUCGAGGAAGUCCGAAAGACGCCACUGCCUCUCUACAGGCUGUUCUCAGGUGGCCAGGAGGACUGCAUCGCAGAGGCGGCGGGCAGUGCCUGGGGACCAGCUUCCUGCCUCUGGCUCUGACUCAGACCUGGUGGCCUUGCCCAGCCCAGCCCCACCCUCUCACUAAAUCAAAGCCAUGCCCUUCAGAUGUGGUUUCCCAAGCCUCCCUUGGUUUCAUGACUGCGAGGGACCUUCUGCAGCCACCUGGGCUGACUUCCAGAGGCUGGCACCAGGGACUCGAUUGUCACUGAGUAAGCUGUAUGCAGCCCCUGUGCCCACCAUGGCAAGACCCCUGCCGUCACCCACCUGACGGCUGCCCUGGCCCUGCCUCAGGAGGCUCCCUCGCCUCCAGCCACAUGGGGAGUCUAUAAAGAAAUAUGCACAAGCAGCAUCAUUCAGCAGGAUUUCAGACCAGAAAGAACCCUCCCGUCAGAGACUGGUGGCCAUACAAGGGUGCGCUGUGAAGCUUUCGAGACAGCAGACAGCCGGAGUCGUGAUCAGGGUGGCCAGGAAGGGAAACAACACGGUAGCAACCAGAGUGCCCUCCCAUGUGGAUUCCUUUGGUGACGAAUAAGCCAGUUGGUGUGCAGGGUGUUCACUGCAAGGCCCAGACAGGACUACAAGAGACCAGGACUGUCCUCAGUAUGUGAUCUCUCUCUCCUCUGGCGUCAGCUCUACCCAGGAACGGAUGUGAAGGCUGAAGCCCAGGCAAGGGCUCAUAGUGUGGGGACCGUGCAGCUGGAUUCAUGUCCAGUGGAAUUUGACACCAUGGCCGUCAUCAUCAUGUUUUGCCGUCAUCAGCACAGACCUCUGAGCAGAAAUGCCAGAACAAUGUGGGGCCACCCUGGAGAUUUAUUUUAUUUAUUUUUUAAAUUAAAUUAAAAUUGUUUUUAAGAGACGGGGUCUUGCUAUGUUGCACAGGUUGAUCUUGAACUUCUGGGCUCAAGCAAUCCUCCUGUCUUGGCCUCAGAGUGUUGGGAUUACAGACCUAAGCCACCGCGCCCGGCCUGGAGAUGUAUUUUAAACUGACAUCUUGGGAGAAAUAAAAGCCUUCCUUUUCCCUGUGUGUCGGUAGCGUAAGUAGUGAACUGGGAAGGAUUUCUCGGGGCCCCUGCCCUGAGCUCCUAGACCUUCUCUCCCACGCCAUGUUACACAACAAAAUCUGACUCUGAAAGAUCAAUUGGGUCCAGCUUGGGGUCUGAUGGGCAGACGGGCUUAAGCAAAGCCCCCACUUGACUUCAAGAGAGGAGCUUGGGGCCCACAUAGACAUCGAGGCCUGCACAACGUAGCUAAUUGGCCCUAACAUUUUUCUUUCUUGAAUUUUAAAUCCUUUUAGCAACAGAUUAUACAACAAAGGCUGAACUCAUUGGGGCCGUCAUUAGGCUGGCGGAAAACGCUGGCUUGGCUGUUCCUUGGCGAAUCUCCUUACCGGGUUAUUUAGAGGUGCCGUGUGUCUCUCUUGGGGACAUGCACACAAAUGUAAAGAAUGUCUCUGAGCCACAAUGACAUUUUCAUUAGCCGUGGCUCACAGAGGAGCCUUUCCUGGCAGUUCCAAUCCGGAAGGUUCUUAUCCUGCUCUCUGGCUUUCUUGCUCUGGGUGAAAGGCAGGCACCGUAAUCCAAGCCAAACACCCCGACCUUUGACCCCCACAUGGUGCUUGCUGUCAGGGUGGGGGUUCUUCUGGGGUGCAUGUCUGAGGCCUGACUGGGCUGCACACUGUCCCAGAGUGCCCUGCCUUUGGCCAGGACAAUUCACCUCAGCCCCUUUUGUCCCAACAGCUUUUGAUCUUGCCUGCCUGUCACCCAGGGAAAGAGCCUGCCUAGGCCCUGUCCCACACCUGCCUGCAAACUGACAGCCAUGGCUCCCCCAGCCCCACUGCAGCAGCCUUAACCCUUUCUCUGCCUGACCUGCAGGGCCUGCACCUACCUGUCUCCAGGGUGCUGGGGCCUCAGGCUUUGGCCAAACCAGAACAGGACUAGAAAAGAAUUCUUCUGAGGGUCCAAGGCCUCGUCCUACCGCCCCUACUGUGAGUGUGGGACUGACAAAGGAGUUUGGAGAGCAUGAGUCCCCUAGAAUGGAGCUCCCAGGAAAAGCCAAAGAGAAAGCCCCAGGCCACUGGGCCUGGACUUCGCCCCACGGCAAGGUCCCCGCCCACUGGCUAGGCAGGUGCUUUUGUGAAACUGACAUUUUCUCAGCUGCACCUCUACCGCUGCUGAUGAGCUUUUCAAUACACUCUUUCUUGUAUUGAGACAGAGCCAUGUUUUCAUAACUUGGCACUACAGCAAAGAAAGACAUGGGGUCCUUGCUGCUCAGUCCUGGUGCCCGGCCCAGUGUCUGGGGUGCCCACCUUGCCCAGCGUGUGCUGGGCAUGCAGGGGCACUUCCCUAGGGCCAAAACCUGGGAGCUUUCCUCCAGGCCAAGACGCAAGUCUCUUUGUUUUUACGGUAGCUUUGUUGAAAUGUAAUUUACAUACCAUGAAAUUCACCCGUUGAAGGCAUGCAAUUUAGAAGGUUUUAUUCAUAGAGUUGUAUGAAUUCUCUAUUUCCCAAGGCCAUUUUUUUAAAUAUAAG
RNAcentral lists this long non-coding RNA (2979 nucleotides) under Homo sapiens (human). RNAcentral's name for it is "HSALNT0177670". Lineage: Eukaryota; Metazoa; Chordata; Mammalia; Primates; Hominidae. The record is from RNAcentral.